Molecule: unclassified non-coding RNA, 76 nt
Filed under: Pseudomonas psychrophila
Lineage: Bacteria; Pseudomonadati; Pseudomonadota; Gammaproteobacteria; Pseudomonadales; Pseudomonadaceae
Source: RNAcentral
UGUGGGAGCGAGCCUGCUCGCGAAGCGUUUACCAGGUGCAUACGGUGAUGCCUUCGCGAGCAGGCUCGCUCCCACA